RNAcentral lists this ribosomal RNA (800 nucleotides) under uncultured bacterium. RNAcentral's name for it is "bacterial SSU rRNA". It matches the Rfam family "Bacterial small subunit ribosomal RNA", at positions 8 to 856 of the family's 1533-position model. The record is from RNAcentral.
AGAGUUUGAUCCUGGCUCAGAACGAACGCUGGCGGCAGGCCUAACACAUGCAAGUCGAGCGCCCAGCAAUGGGAGCGGCGGACGGGUGAGCAACACGUGGGAAUUUUCCUCAAGGUACGGAACAACUCAGGGAAACUUGGGCUAAUACCGUAUGAUGCAGAGAUGCCAAAGAUUUAUCGCCUUGGGAUAAGCCCGCGUCAGAUUAGGUAGUUGGUGGGGUAAUGGCCUACCAAGCCUGUGAUCUGUAGCUGGUCUGAGAGGACGAUCAGCCACAUUGGGACUGAGACACGGCCCAAACUCCUACGGGAGGCAGCAGUGGGGAAUCUUGCGCAAUGGGCGAAAGCCUGACGCAGCCAUGCCGCGUGAAUGAUGAAGGUCUUAGGAUUGUAAAGUUCUUUCGCCCGUGACGAUGAUGACGGUAACGGGAGAAGAAGCCCCGGCUAACUUCGUGCCAGCAGCCGCGGUAAUACGAAGGGGGCUAGCGUUGUUCGGAAUUACUGGGCGUAAAGCGCGCGUAGGCGGUUUUGCAAGCCAGAGGUGAAAUGCCCGAGCUCAACUUGGGAAUUGCCUUUGGGACUGUGAGGCUUCGAGGACGGAAGAGGUGAGUGGAAUUCCCAGUGUAGAGGUGAAAUUCGUAGAUAUUGGGAAGAACACCGGUGGCGAAGGCGGCUCACUGGUCCGUUUCUGACGCUAAAGCGCGAAAGCGUGGGGAUCAAACAGGAUUAGAUACCCUGGUAGUCCACGCUGUAAACGAUGAGUGCUAGGCGUCGGCAGGCUUGCCUGUCGGUGCCGCAGCUAAC